UCGACUCUGGAGAGCGGUGGCGAAUGACCACCCACCGAAGGGGCUAAAGCUCUCAGGUGCAAGGACAGAGGGGCGGUG
RNAcentral lists this non-coding RNA (78 nucleotides) under Acidithiobacillales bacterium. RNAcentral describes it as "Glycine sequence". It matches the Rfam family "Glycine riboswitch aptamer". From Rfam's summary of the family: This family represents the bacterial glycine riboswitch. Glycine riboswitches usually consist of two metabolite-binding aptamers domains with similar structures in tandem. Lineage: Bacteria; Pseudomonadati; Pseudomonadota; Acidithiobacillia; Acidithiobacillales. The record is from RNAcentral.